ACGUUGAUACACCAGUUCCCAUACGAUCAUAGGAGUUAAGCAAAAUCGAACCCGGUUAGUACUUACAUGUGUGACCGCUUGUGAAUACCAGAUUCUGUAG
Acanthosepion pharaonis is the source of this 100-nucleotide non-coding RNA. Lineage: Eukaryota; Metazoa; Mollusca; Cephalopoda; Sepiida; Sepiidae. The record is from the annotation of a GenBank genome assembly.